CCUACGGGAGGCAGCAGUGGGGAAUUUUGGACAAUGGGCGCAAGCCUGAUCCAGCAAUGCCGCGUGAGUGAAGAAGGCCUUCGGGUUGUAAAGCUCUUUUGUCAGGGAAGAAACGGUGGGGGCUAAUAUCUCCUACUAAUGACGGUACCUGAAGAAUAAGCACCGGCUAACUACGUGCCAGCAGCCGCGGUAAUACGUAGGGUGCAAGCGUUAAUCGGAAUUACUGGGCGUAAAGCGUGCGCAGGCGGUUUUGUAAGUCUGUCGUGAAAGCCCCGGGCUCAACCUGGGAAUUGCGAUGGAGACUGCAAGGCUUGAAUCUGGCAGAGGGGGGUAGAAUUCCACGUGUAGCAGUGAAAUGCGUAGAGAUGUGGAGGAACACCGAUGGCGAAGGCAGCCCCCUGGGUCAAGAUUGACGCUCAUGCACGAAAGCGUGGGGAGCAAACAGGAUUAGAUACCCUGGUAGUCCACGCCCUAAACGAUGUCUACUAGUUGUCGGGUUUUAAUUAACUUGGUUAACGCAGCUAACGCGUGAAGUAGACCGCCUGGGGAUACGGUCGCAAGNUUAAAACUCAAAUGAAUUGACCGGNUGAGAGNGCGAGACGACGACGAGGGAGGAGG
This 618-nucleotide ribosomal RNA is filed under the name uncultured bacterium. RNAcentral's name for it is "bacterial SSU rRNA". It matches the Rfam family "Bacterial small subunit ribosomal RNA", at positions 338 to 948 of the family's 1533-position model. The record is from RNAcentral.